CUGCCCACCUGGUUUCAAAUUUCACUUCUGUCAUUUGCCAAAUGUGCGACCCCAGUCAGGUUAUUUAACUCAGUUUCCCAAUCUCUAAAACAGGAUGGUUGGUAAUAGUACCUACUUCAGAGGGUUAUUGUGAAGAUAAAAUGAAGGAUCAUGGAUGAAGCUGCUAUAAGUUGAGGUCAACUACAAGGUUAGAGGGCACAGCCUGCACACGAGACCGCCCUUGCUUCUGACACCACCUGCAAGUUCCGGAGGUGCCCCAAACUGCCUUCAGGAGAUGGAAAAUGCAGAGAAGGCAGAGUCUGAAAUUCUGGAGCUGCAGUUGAAUAACCAGAAGACCCUAGCCAAGUCACUUCACCUCUCUGAGCCUCAGUUUCCUCAUCUGUAAAAUGGGCGUGAGGUUCUCUUACAGGGAGCACAGCCAGAGGCAAGAGAGCAUCUCUUCCCACCAGCCCCGAGGCUUGAGGCAACAGCCACUUCACCUCUCUGAGCCGUGGUUUCCCUGUCUGCCAAAUGGAGAAACGCAGCGCUGGGUGAUAUCAAUUGUUUCUGCCUGCCCUGCGUCCCUUCCAUCUUCUUUUGAAAACAGCACCCAGUUUUCUUUAGGGGAACAUUCCUCUCCCACUCUCAGUUCACCUGGGCACACGGUCUGGGACUGGUCAGUCAGAAUCAGGACAUUCCAUCCUCCUGGUCACAGCAUUUGGUUCAGGAAUGGGCACACGAGCUAAGCCAGAGCAAUCAGAAGUGUCCAGGAGAGAGGCAUGCUCUUUUCCUAUGGGAUUGGGGCACCAGGACGCUGUAAGCCUGGAGCUGCCCCUCCACCUGCCUCAGAGUGAAGCCAGCAAGAGGAAAAAACAUCAGAGAGAGAGAGAACUUGACACCUGGAUGCUGCCAUACCUGUUCCCAGUUUUCAGCUUGGCAGCCAACACUUCGCCUUCUUUUGCCAAAAUCAGUUGGAAUUGGUUGUCUGUCAUUUGUAAUGGAAGUAAUCCUAAUUUAUUCAGGGGUUAAAAACACCUACGUUAAAAGAUUGCUGUAUGGAUCAAAAGAGAAGAUGAUGUAAGGGAAAAUGUUUUUCUAAACUGUAUGUGGCUGAAUGACGGUGAGUUAUUAAUCAGACCCUAAAGCAGGAACACACAUUCCACGAGUGAUGAGUCAGUCCAGUUCUAUCUGAGAGGCUCGAGAAAGCAGACUUUGAAGGUGCUUGCCUGAGCACUGAAGAGCUGUUUGGAAAUGCGAAUUCUUGCCCCCUAAAUUUUCAGUUCACUGGGUGCAUGUUUUCGAAGGAGGAGAUGUCCUUGCGUUGGGGCACAACUCUUUCCUAUGUGACUUGUUCCAAGGUUGGUCAUUUUACAAGAGGCCAUGGGACACAGAGGAAAGAUCCUGGCCUGUUUGGGCAAGUCUCUGCCUCACUCUGAGUCUGUCACCUGAGGGACUGGAUUGGACCUUCCAGUAGGGAGCUCCCAGCUCUGACCCGCUGUGGUCUUGAAAUUCUCAGACCCUAUCCUGGGACAAGGAAAGUCUGCUCACCUCUGGAGUCUGUAGCAUAUACUUGUUCCUGGAUUCUCCUGAGAAGCCACACAUCAAAACCACAGCCCACACCACAAAGAGACUCUGCGGAGUCUGGCAGACAAUGGAGGUCGGCUGGCCCAAUCUCCAUUUCCAGUUCCCUGUUCUUUUCUGCUUAAUCCCAAACUCAAUCUCCCAAUCUGCUUUGUAGCCAAGCGAGGUCACGUGACACAGUGCUGGUGAAAGAGAUGUAGUGGAACUCUGCUGAGGCUGCCUCUUCGCUUCCUAUCCUUUUCCUGCCUGAAACAAUGGCCCGAGGAUGCCGCACAUCUGAGGGUGAUCGAGCAGAAAGAUGGAGAGAGCCUGGUCUCCUGAUGGCAUUGUUGAGCAGCCGCAGAGGCCUGGGCUGCUGACCUCUGGACUUGUCAUUUGAGAAGAAUUCCCCCUCAUUUUCUUGCAUUUAGGCUUCCAUGUUUGGGACUUGAUAUAUGGAGCCAACUGCAUUCCUGGUGCACUAGGCUAGCAUUUGUCUGCAACCAUUCUCUUUUGGUGUCUAGUACAAGUGUUUUCACCUCUAGGACCACACUGAC
Molecule: long non-coding RNA, 2096 nt
Organism: Equus caballus (horse)
Lineage: Eukaryota; Metazoa; Chordata; Mammalia; Perissodactyla; Equidae
Source: Ensembl